UAGUGUCACAUUUAAAAAACCUUCAAAUUGCACUUUACCAAGUGCUUCUACUGUAACACUUUAUUUCUGUAUGGAUACUCAAAGAGCAGCAAAAACACAUCUGCUAUUACAGCUGAUGAAAUUCCAGCUGUAUCUGCUUGCUCUUGGUUAGGGCACACAGGAGGUAUGUGUCCUUUCCUCUGUCUUCUCAGUCACUGCCAAAGAAGGGGAUGACAUUUCCCAGCCUACCCUAUGAACCAAAUGACCUACUGAUAAACCAUCCACAAACAUCCAAAAGAGCUGGAAGAAUUAUGUCUAACAGUGAGUUACCAUACAGGAAGCCAAGGCUAGGUCCAGAGAUACACCUCUAAAGGUUUCCCAGGCACUCUUGGCUAUAACUCUAAUUGCAGCACAGAAAAGUUUUAACAGUAUGACAGUAGAAUUAAUACUGAUACUUUUCAGCAUCAUCAAUCAUCAGUGAGAAGGAGCAGAUCUUCCCCAAAAAUCUAUUUUCCUGAAGCACAUUUUGGAAGUGAUUUUGUCCUCUGACAUAAGAAAUAAAAAGCACAACAUAAGACAGAGGAAUGGGGAGUACAGGACUAAUCAUUUUCGUUCUUGCAAGUGCACAAAAGGAAGAAUUGGAACAAAUGUUAUAACAGGUUCUGUGUGGCAAAACCCAACAGUCUGGACAGAGUGUUGAGGCCUCACUACCAGGCUGCAUUAACAGAAGUAUGAUGUGAUGGCCACGAACACUCUCAUCACUAAAUGGGACCUGACUCAAGAGUACUGGAUCUUAAAGCAUGUUCUUAGCUAAAAGACUGAGACAAGCCCAUGAGACAGACUCCAUGGCUACAACUAUGAUAAAAAACUAACGUGGUGGGUUGACCCUGGCUGGAAAACAGGUGCCCAAAAAAUCUGCUCCAUCACUGCCCUCCUCAGCUGGGCAGGGGAGAGGAAACAAAAUGAAAAAACUAUUCAAGGUAAGGACGGAGAGAGAUUGCUCACCACCAACUGUAGCGGGAAGAACGGACUCAACUUUGGAAAAUUAAAGAGAAACAAAUCUAAAUCUUAAAUGUACUUUGCCACCACCCCUCCCUUCUUCCUGGGCUUAAAUUUACUCAUGAUUUUCUCUAUCUUCUCCUUCCCAGUGGAAGGGAUGGGGAUGGGGAAUGGGAACCGUGGAGUGUAGGAAUCCCCAGUAAUUAUUGCACAGGAUUAGUCCAGUGUUCCACAUUCCUCUGAUUGCACACAUAAGGUAUUCCUUGUAUUUUGAUUAAAGUCUUCUCUGUUCUUUAAGACCAUUUUUAUGCCAUUGUCAUGUAUUUAUACAAUUAGAUCUAAUUUAUACUAUUAGACCUAAUUACUUAAUUGUUGUAGCAUGCAUGAUGAAAUAAUGAGAAUGUGUAAUUUAGAUGUGCAAUUACAUAAUUACAAUGUGUAAUGACAUUAGGCAUAAAUAUCCCAAAAUGUUAUGGGAAAAAUAUACUGUUGAAAUAGAAGAAUUUUUUUUAGGUACUGCAUCGGUUUUAAACAAAGCAAACCAAACUAUGAAAUCAUUCCUCAAGGCUUAAGAAUGUUCUUCUUAUUUUUAGGUCCCCACUUAAAGCACUGACCAUUUUUAGCAGGAAAAUUUAUGUUUCAUACAAUUAAAAAGGGUAGGGAACUGCAUGGAAAAAAUAUAUAUGUACUGGGAUAACUGAGGUUAUCUUUAUUUGCUGUAUUUUAGAACAUCAGGGUCCAAUUUCCGUGUGUCUUUUUUUAUAAUCUGGAGAAAAACUGCAAAUUUAACUGUUGUAUACAAACCACAUAUCAACUUUAGAACUUAGUGUGGCUGUACAACAUGGAGCCAAUUAACUAACAAGGUAAUAAAUGAAAUAACUAAUUCCAGCCUUUAUCUGAACCCUGGUAUCAACUUCUCACAAAAAUACAAAACCAGAAAAAUAUCAUGCCCUCAGGAACCUCCUAAAGUACCUGUUUGAUCUUCCCAAGGUUUGGGACCUCCCCACUGCCUCCUCCUACCCUGCCCCUGAGAGAUCCCAUAGCUGCCCCCUGAAGUUUCCUAUAGGUCCCUAGGAAGACCUCCUACUGCAUUCUCAAUGGUGUAUCACAAAAGGUGAGAUGUCUCACUUGAAACCUGUUUACUUAUUAAAAUUAGAUUUAAUUCCUGUGAGCAUUUUAAACCCCAGAGAUACAGAAGGGUGAGAUGGAUUCCAUGGUAUCUGGGGCAACUUCAUUGCUGUUGGUAACAUACAAGCAUCCCAGACCAACCCUGAGCUCCUAAUGGAGCCAGCAAGUAGAGCAGUAAGAAUUUUACAAUCAAAAUAAUCAAUAGUGAUUAGAAUUUUUCUUUUCUUUAGAGAAAAUAUAUCUUGACAGAAGAUUUUUUUCUAGGUAAAUUUAAACUUCCCAAACACUUAUUUUGGCUAUAUUCCCACUCUGAAAAUUCAAAACAAAAAGUUAUUUUCACCUGUCAGUUCAGAAUGUUACUUCCUGUUGAUUUAAAAAGCCUUUCAUUAUAAUAUAUCAGUACUGAUGUCUUUUCAAUUUCUUCUCUGGGAAGUUUUAUUUUCAGGUACCUUUAUGUUAACCUUUAAUUUCACUAGAAGAAGGAAGGGGAGGGAAAAGAACAGCAUAAAUAAAAGUUUGGUAAAGUUGUCACGGCCAAAAUACUGAUGUUAAAACUGACUGAAUGCUGUAUGUGAAUUCCUACCACCAGUAUCUGAAGUAUAAUAUCUGAAGAGAAUUUGAAGUGAUAGAAAGGUAGAUAUUAUUUCUCCAUAAGGAAAACAAAGAGGAAUCCCAAACAGCUGAAGUGGGUGGCCAAGAAAGGAUAAAAGGAUCAAUGGAAGUAGGAGGACAGGGAAUACUUUACUUGCAGUGCUAAUUUCUAGACCUCCAGCCCCAAGACAUGGGGAGCCCAUACCAUACUGCCAGAGCUACGGAGGUGCAUUUCACUCCCUCCCAGGUGGGUGGUCUCUGUGGAGGAGAUGUUGCACAGGUAAUUAGGCUGGUGAUUUGAACCUCGCAGCAUCUGUCAGUUGCAGUUGCUGCUGAGGCAACAAAGCUUCUCAUGACAUACCAGUAUAUGCAACACCUACACGGCAGUGAAAUCCCAGCUGACCACAUGCCUUGAAGCUUGAGGUUUGUAGGCUUUAAAAUUUUGUUCUGAGAAAAACAACUUUAGAUGCAGCUUUUACAAAUCUUCCAUAAUGUACCUUUCUUUAAAAAAGGUAAUUCUAUUUCAAAACAAGUUAUAAAGUAACAUAAUUUUCCCUUAUUAAAGAGUUCUCAGAUAAUAGCACACUAUAGUUAGGCUUCUCAAAAUGUUCUUCUUCCUUUCUGAAUAUUUCAACCUCCAGUGUCAGACCUGAAGGCCUGUCU
Long non-coding RNA from Corvus hawaiiensis (hawaiian crow), 3360 nucleotides. RefSeq lists it as uncharacterized. NCBI's taxonomy places the organism in Eukaryota, Metazoa, Chordata, Aves, Passeriformes, Corvidae. The record is from RefSeq and is a predicted model, not a curated record. The transcript is spliced from 6 exons.